This 434-nucleotide ribosomal RNA is filed under the name uncultured Lachnospiraceae bacterium. RNAcentral describes it as "partial 16S ribosomal RNA". It matches the Rfam family "Bacterial small subunit ribosomal RNA", at positions 341 to 792 of the family's 1533-position model. Lineage: Bacteria; Bacillati; Bacillota; Clostridia; Lachnospirales; Lachnospiraceae. The record is from RNAcentral.
ACGGAAGGCAGCAGUGGGGAAUAUUGCACAAUGGGGGAAACCCUGAUGCAGCGACGCCGCGUGAAGGAAGAAGUAUCUCGGUAUGUAAACUUCUAUCAGCAGGGAAGAUAAUGACGGUACCUGACUAAGAAGCUCCGGCUAAAUACGUGCCAGCAGCCGCGGUAAUACGUAUGGAGCAAGCGUUAUCCGGAUUUACUGGGUGUAAAGGGAGCGUAGACGGCAUAGCAAGUCUGAUGUGAAAUCCCCGGGCUCAACCCGGGAACUGCAUUGGAAACUGUUAAGCUAGAGUGCAGGAGAGGUAAGUGGAAUUCCUAGUGUAGCGGUGAAAUGCGUAGAUAUUAGGAGGAACACCAGUGGCGAAGGCGGCUUACUGGACUGUAACUGACGUUGAGGCUCGAAAGCGUGGGGAGCAAACAGGAUUAGAUACCCUGGUA